UUAUUAUGAGAGUUUGAUCCUGGCUCAGGACGAACGCUGGCGGCGUGCCUAAUACAUGCAAGUCGAACGCUUCUUUCCUCCCGAGUGCUUGCACUCAAUUGGAAAGAGGAGUGGCGGACGGGUGAGUAACACGUGGGUAACCUACCCAUCAGAGGGGGAUAACACUUGGAAACAGGUGCUAAUACCGCAUAACAGUUUAUGCCGCAUGGCAUAAGAGUGAAAGGCGCUUUCGGGUGUCG
RNAcentral lists this ribosomal RNA (239 nucleotides) under Enterococcus faecalis. RNAcentral's name for it is "partial 16S ribosomal RNA". It matches the Rfam family "Bacterial small subunit ribosomal RNA", at positions 1 to 217 of the family's 1533-position model. The record is from RNAcentral. Lineage: Bacteria; Bacillati; Bacillota; Bacilli; Lactobacillales; Enterococcaceae.